GACACAGAAGGAUAGGGAAUCGCACGAAUGGAAAUGUGCGUCCAAGCAGUGAGUGUGAGAAGUAGGCAAAUCCGCUUCUCGCGAAGCAUGAGCUGUGAUGGGGAAGGAAAUUAAGUACGGAAGUUCCUGAUUUCACGCUGUCAAGAAAAGCCUCUAGGAAGAGUAGUACUGCCCGUACCGCAAACCGACACAGGUAGAUGAGGAGAGAAUCCUAAGGUGAGCGAGAGAACUCUCGUUAAGGAACUCGGCAAAAUGACCCCGUAACUUCGGGAGAAGGGGUGCUCUAUUAGGGUGCAAGCCCGAGAGAGCCGCAGUGAAUAGGCCCAGGCGACUGUUUAGCAAAAACACAGGUCUCUGCAAAACCGUAAGGUGACGUAUAGGGGCUGACGCCUGCCCGGUGCUGGAAGGUUAAGAGGAGUGCUUAGCUUCGGCGAAGGUACGAAUUGAAGCCCCAGUAAACGGCGGCCGUAACUAUAACGGUCCUAAGGUAGCGAAAUUCCUUGUCGGGUAAGUUCCGACCCGCACGAAAGGCGCAACGAUCUGGGCACUGUCUCAACGAGAGACUCGGUGAAAUUAUAGU
Molecule: ribosomal RNA, 580 nt
Filed under: Listeria monocytogenes
Lineage: Bacteria; Bacillati; Bacillota; Bacilli; Caryophanales; Listeriaceae
Description: bacterial LSU rRNA
Rfam family: Bacterial large subunit ribosomal RNA
Source: RNAcentral